GACGAACGCUGGCGGCGUGCCUAAUACAUGCAAGUAGAACGCUGACGGAGGAGCUUGCUUCUCUGGAUGAGUUGCGAACGGGUGAGUAACGCGUAGGUAACCUGCCUUGUAGCGGGGGAUAACUAUUGGAAACGAUAGCUAAUACCGCAUAAGAGUAGAUGUUGCAUGACAUUUGCUUAAAAGGUGCAAUUGCAUCACUACCAUAUGGACCUGCGUUGUAUUAGCUAGUUGGUGGGGUAACGGCUCACCAAGGCGACGAUACAUAGCCGACCUGAGAGGGUGAUCGGCCAAACUGGGACUGAGAAACGGGCCAGACUCCUACGGGAGGCAGCAGUAGGGAAUCUUCGGCAAUGGACGGAAGUCUGACCGAGCAACGCCGCGUGAGUGAAGAAGGUUUUCGGAUCGGAAAGCUCUGUUGUAAGAGAAGAAAGAGCGUGAGAGUGGAAAGUUCACACUGUGACGGUAUCUUACCAGAAAGGGACGGCUAACUACGUG
RNAcentral lists this ribosomal RNA (495 nucleotides) under uncultured bacterium. Its description in RNAcentral is "partial 16S ribosomal RNA". It matches the Rfam family "Bacterial small subunit ribosomal RNA", at positions 28 to 507 of the family's 1533-position model. The record is from RNAcentral.